UACAGAGGUCUCAAGCGUUGUUCGGAUUCAUUGGGCGUAAAGGGUGCGUAGGCGGCGCGGUAAGUCGUGUGUGAAAUCUCGGGGCUUAACUCCGAAACUGCAUUCGAUACUGCCGUGCUUGAGGACUGGAGAGGAGACUGGAAUUUACGGUGUAGCGGUGAAAUGCGUAGAUAUCAGGAGGAACACCGGUGGCGAAGGCGGGUCUCUGGGCCGAUACUGACGCUGAGGAGCGAAAGCGUGGGGAGCGAACAGG
Molecule: ribosomal RNA, 253 nt
Filed under: uncultured bacterium
Lineage: Bacteria
Description: partial 16S ribosomal RNA
Rfam family: Bacterial small subunit ribosomal RNA
Source: RNAcentral